CUGUGCUGGAGUCAUCCUCAUACAGAUCAUACAAAGACAUGAGUGUGUCCACUCAGCUCCUGGCUUUUCUGGUGCUGUGGUUAACAGAUGCCAAAUGUGACAUCCAGAUGACCCAGUCUCCAGCCACCAUGUCUGCAUCUGUGGGACAAAGUGUCUCCAUUACAUGUCUGGGAAGUGAAGACAUUUAUGAUGCUUUACAUUGGUAUCAGCAGAAACCAGGGAAAUCUCCUCAACUCCUGAUCUAUGCUGCAAACAACUUGGCAGAUGGUGUCCCAUCACGGUUCAGCGGCAGUGGAUCUGGCAGACAGUAUUCUCUCAAGAUCAACAGCCUGCAGCCUGAAGAUGUUGCAACUUAUUUCUGUGAGCAGAGUUAUGACUAUCUUCUCACAGUGAUUUAA
Molecule: non-coding RNA, 398 nt
Organism: Grammomys surdaster
Lineage: Eukaryota; Metazoa; Chordata; Mammalia; Rodentia; Muridae
Source: the annotation of a RefSeq genome assembly